This 374-nucleotide ribosomal RNA is filed under the name uncultured eukaryote. RNAcentral's name for it is "partial 18S ribosomal RNA". It matches the Rfam family "Eukaryotic small subunit ribosomal RNA", at positions 592 to 976 of the family's 1831-position model. The record is from RNAcentral.
UAAUAGUGUAUAUUAAAGUUGUUGCAGUUAAAAAGCUCGUAGUUGAAUGUUGGUGUCGAACGAGCGGUCAGCUUCGGCUGUACUGCUCUCUCGACUCCUUCCUUCUGUGGACUACGUCGCACUUUACUGUGUGGCGCUAGGACGCAGAUCGUUUACUGUGAAAAAAUUAGAGUGUUCAAAGCAGGCCGUACGCUUGAAUACAUUAGCAUGGAAUAAUGGAAUAGGACGUCGGGCCUAUUUUGUUGGUUCUAGGACCGUCGUAAUGAUUAAUAGGGACAGUUGGGGCCGUUUAUAUUCCGUAGUCAGAGGUGAAAUUCGUGGAUUUACGGAAGAUAAACUACUGCGAAAGCAUUCGGCAAGGAUGUUUNCGUUAA